UGCAGUCGAACGAGAGGCUCUUCGGAGUAGUACAGUGGCGAACGGGUGAGUAAGACAUGGGUAAUCUACCUUUGAGCGGGGGAUAACCAGCCGAAAGGCUGGCUAAUACCCCAUACGCUUCCGGUCCUUCGGGUAAGGAAGGAAAGCUGCAUCGUGGAUGUGGCACUCGAAGAUGGGCUCAUGGCCUAUCAGCUUGUUGGUGGGGUAAUGGCCUACCAAGGCAACGACGGGUAGCUGGUCUGAGAGGACGAUCAGCCACACUGGCACUGAGACACGGGCCAGACUCCUACGGGAGGCAGCAGUGAGGAAUAUUGCGCAAUGGGCGAAAGCCUGACGCAGCGACGCCGCGUGGGGGAAGAAGGGUUUCGGAUUGUAAACCCCUUUUAGGAGGAAAGAUGGGGUGGUUCGCCACCCGGACGGUACCUCCAGAAAAAGCCACGGCUAACUUCGUGCCAGCAGCCGCGGUAAUACGAAGGUGGCGAGCGUUGUUCGGAUUUACUGGGCGUAAAGAGCACGUAGGCGGUUUAGUAAGCCCCUUGGGAAAGCUACGGGCUUAACCCGUAAAGGUCGAGGGGGACUGCUAAGCUAGAGGGCGGGAGAGGAGCGCGGAAUUUCCGGUGUAGCGGUGAAAUGCGUAGAUAUCGGGAAGAAGGCCGGUGGCGAAGGCGGCGCUCUGGAACGUCUCUGACGCUGAGGUGCGAAAGCGUGGGGAGCAGACAGGAUUAGAUACCCUGGUAGUCCACGCCGUAAACGAUGGGCACUAAGUGUCGGCAGGUUACUGCCGGUGCCGCAGUUAACGCAGUAAGUGCCC
This 811-nucleotide ribosomal RNA is filed under the name uncultured bacterium. Its description in RNAcentral is "bacterial SSU rRNA". It matches the Rfam family "Bacterial small subunit ribosomal RNA", at positions 56 to 869 of the family's 1533-position model. The record is from RNAcentral.